This 443-nucleotide ribosomal RNA is filed under the name uncultured bacterium. Its description in RNAcentral is "partial 16S ribosomal RNA". It matches the Rfam family "Bacterial small subunit ribosomal RNA", at positions 338 to 795 of the family's 1533-position model. The record is from RNAcentral.
CCUACGGGUGGCAGCAGUGAGGAAUAUUGGUCAAUGGACGAGAGUCUGAACCAGCGACGCCGCGUGAGUGAAGAAGUAUCUCGGUAUGUAAAGCUCUAUCAGCAGGGAAGAAGAAAGUGACGGUACCUUAGGAAUAAGCCUCGGCUAACUACGUGCCAGCAGCCGCGGUAAUACGUAGGAGGCAAGCGUUAUCCGGAAUGACUGGGCGUAAAGGGUGCGUAGGUGGUUUGACAAGUUGGUAGCGUAACUCCGGGGCUCAACCUCGGCACUACUACCAAAACUGUCGGACUUGAGUGCAGGAGGGGCAAAUGGAAUUCCUAGUGUAGCGGUGGAAUGCGUAGAUAUUAGGAGGAACACCAGUGGCGAAGGCGAUUUGCUGGACUGUAACUGACACUGAGGCACGAAAGCGUGGGGAGCAAACAGGAUUAGAUACCCCUGUAGUC